This 495-nucleotide ribosomal RNA is filed under the name uncultured bacterium. RNAcentral's name for it is "partial 16S ribosomal RNA". It matches the Rfam family "Bacterial small subunit ribosomal RNA", at positions 30 to 507 of the family's 1533-position model. The record is from RNAcentral.
UGACCGCUGGCGGCGUGCCUACUACAUGCACGUCGAGCGACCAGACGAGGAGCUUGCUCCUCUGACGUUAGCGGCGGACGGGUGAGUAACACGUGGAUAACCUACCUAUAAGACUGGGAUAACUUCGGGAAACCGGAGCUAAUACCGGAUAAUAUAUUGAACCGCAUGGUUCAAUAGUGAAAGACGGUUUUGCUGUCACUUAUAGAUGGAUCCGCGCCGCAUUAGCUAGUUGGUAAGGUAACGGCUUACCAAGGCAACGAUGCGUAGCCGACCUGAGAGGGUGAUCGGCCACACUGGAACUGAGACACGGUCCAGACUCCUACGGGAGGCAGCAGUAGGGAAUCUUCCGCAAUGGGCGAAAGCCUGACGGAGCAACGCCGCGUGAGUGAUGAAGGUCUUCGGAUCGUAAAACUCUGUUAUUAGGGAAGAACAAAUGUGUAAGUAACUAUGCACGUCUUGACGGUACCUAAUCAGAAAGCCACGGCUAACUACGUG